Molecule: long non-coding RNA, 5169 nt
Organism: Dreissena polymorpha
Lineage: Eukaryota; Metazoa; Mollusca; Bivalvia; Myida; Dreissenidae
Exons: 3
Source: RefSeq, a predicted model, not a curated record
GUGUGCAUAUAUUGUGUCAUUAGUCUAAAGCUUUUUAGGAAACUGAUAACUUAAAUUGUGUAUCAUAUCGAAAGCAUAUAUUUCUAAAAGAAAUGCACAUUUAUAAAAAAACUAGUAAGCCAAGUACAAAAUUAUUCAUUAAACUGACAUGUUGCUAUAAAAUAAAUAAUAAUUGUUUUAGAUUAUCUACUUUGUAUAUUAAACAAUGUUAGCAAAGUGCAUUACCGGUAACAAACAAUAAGAUGUCAUUGAUAAUAACGUGUGAUUUUCUGAAAUGACGCGUAUGUUCAUCAUGCGUCAAACCAUGGCCAUCAUCACGUGUACAAUAGUUAAGAGAGCUGGAGCGAAGACCAUUGGCGUCACCGGUCCCCAAGUUGGCAGCCCUUAGAAUGUUAAGCAAUCUAUAGUCGGGUUACCAAGUCAGAAGCGCAAACAAUCGUCGUAAUCGCGGGAUGCUAAGUCAGAAGCGCAAACAAUCGUCGUCAUUGCGGGAUUCCAUGUCACCAGCAAAAAACAAUCGUCGUCUUCGCGGGAUUCCAAGUCAUAAGCGCAAAAAAUCGUCGUGAUCGCGGGAUUCCAAGUCAGAAGCGCAAACAAUCGUCGCCAUCGCGGGAUUCCAAGUCAGAAUCACAAACAAUCGUCGUGAUCGCGGGAUUCCAAGUCAGAAACGCAAACAAUCGUCGUCAUCGCGGGAUUCCAAGUCAGAAGCGCAAACAAUCGUCGUCAUCGCGGGAUUCCAAGUCAGAAGCACAAACAAUCGUCGUGAUCGCGGGAUUCCAAGUCAGAAACGCAAACAAUCGUCGCCAUCGCGGGAUUCGAAGUCAGAAACGCAAACAAUCGUUGCAAUCGCGGGAAUCCAAGUCAGAAGCGCAAACAAUCUUCGUCAUCACGAGAUUCCUAGUCAGAAGCACAAACAAUUAUCGUCAUCGCGGGAUUUCAAGUCAGAAACGCAAACAAUCGUCGUCAUCGCGGGAUUCCAAAUCAGAAGCGCAAACAAUCAUCGUCAUCGCGGGAUUCCAAGUCAUGCGCAAACGAUUGUCGUCAUCGCAGGAUAGAUAGUCAGCAGCUCAAACAUUUGUCGUCAUCGCCGGAUACCAAGUCAGCAGCGCAAACAAUCGUCGUCAUCGCGGGAGUGCAAGUCAGAAACGCAAACACUCGUCGUCAUCGCGGGAUACCAAGUCAGAAGUUCAAACAAUCGUCUUCAUCGCGGGAUUCCAAGUCAGAAGCGCAAACAAUCGUCGUGAUCGCGGGAUUCCAAGUCAAGCGCAAUCGAUUGUCGUCAUCGCAGGAUAGAAAGUCAGCAGCUCAAACUUUCGUCGUCAACGCCAAAUUCCAAGUCAGCAGCGCAAACAAUCGUCGUCAUCGCGGGAUAGCAAGUCAGCAGCACAAACAAUCGUCGUCAUCACGAGAUUCCAAAUAAGAAGCACAAACAAUCGUGGUCAUCGCGGGAUUCGAAGUCAGAAGCGCAAACAAUCGUCGUCAUCGCGGGAUACGAAGUCAGCAGCUCGAACCAAAGUUGGCAUCAAGGAUUAAAAAGUGAAUAGCGAAAACAAUAGUCACCAUUGCGGGUAUCUGCAAACCAAAAUGGUCAUCACGGUUUACCAAUUCAAAAACCAAAAGUCGUCAUCGCCAGUUACCAAGUCAGCUGCGCAAGCCAGGAUCGACAUCACGGGUCCGCGGUUCACCAAAUUAGCGUCACAAAAUAUGGUCGUCAUCGCGGCAUACUAAGUUAGGAGCGCAGACAAUUGGUGUCAUCGCGGUUUACCAAGUCAGCAGCGCAAACCAUGGUCAUCAUUGCGGGUUGCCAAGUUAGUAGCAAAAGCCUCAGUCAUGAUUGUGAGGUAACCAAAUCACCGGCGCUCGACUGCUCAACAAGAUGUCCGUCAUUGAGCCCACUGUAUUUUUUAAUGAAAAUAACUGGAACGACAACUGUGCAGCUAGAUUGUGCUCCACCCAGGUUUCAUGAGUGCAAUGCAUUAGAAGUGUUCAGGGACCGUAUUUGGGGACUUGAUACUGCACCAAGGAUAACGCCCACCGCACGUUUUCCUACACUUCUCAUUAGGCUCUAGCGUGUUUGGUUACACGGUAUCCCAGCGAUGAAUCUGCUGUCCAUGAUAUUUAACGUUUUAAGGAACAGGUAAUCCAUGCCUUGAUGGUUUUUCUCUUGUUUCCGAUGACUGGAUUCAGUGACAAUGCUUACUCUACAUGUAGUGUAACUUUAAAUUGACUGUUAUGUUAUUUUGUUUUCUGAUUGACGCUUAUAGUAUUGUCAUCAAAUUUUAUGUUUUAUUAUGUAACUUUGCAACACUGCACAUAACCUUUAACAAAAAUGUGUUCACAAGUUUUAACUUAAGCCAUGUAUAUAGCUGUGCAUAAGAGGUUUUAUUUUGACGUCUCUAUUGAAGGAUUGUUUUACAUGCAUUCCGUUGUAUCGUGUUUGCAAUUUUAAAUGGUUUCUAACACAUGUGUUUUUUGGAACUCCCAAUAUGAUUCAUAUCUGUAAAUGCCAAUGUGUAUUUAGAAGUUUUUUCCACGUUGAUGUUCAUUCAAAAUAACAAUACAAAUAAAGUGUACAGAGGGUGUAUAAAUGUAUAUAGGAUGUAAAGACCUUAUUCAAAUGAAGUUUGUAUCGCGAAUAUAUGUUGUAUUAUAUGUAUACAACUUACUGAAAUAAAAAUGUUCUUAUGUUUCAACUUGAAGAGAUGCCUUAACCCUUUGCAUGCUGGGAAAUUUGUCAUCUGCUAAAAUGUCGUCUGCUCAAUAUCUUAAAUCAUCAUUUUCUUCCCUUUAUUCAAAGAAUACUAUCAGAAUAGCAAACAGUUUGGAUCCUGAUGAGACGCCACGUUCUGUGGCGUCUCAUCUGGAUCCAAACUGUUUGCAAAGGCCUUCAAAAUUCGGUUCCAGCGCUCAAAGGGUUAACACAAUAUGUAUAAUUAUGCACGUACGCAGCUAAAUUUUCACGUGCAUGUAAUCUGUAUUGUUUGUAUCCAACUCAAUGCAUUAGUGAGUGUGUUUCACAUGUAUCUUUAUAUUUUAAAUUAUGACAUUUGUGAAGGAAAAAGUAUAAUCGUUUUUCGCGUUGACGGUAUGGUUAUGGUCAAAUGUUACCAAUCACAUGACGGAUUGAUGUAAAUUACACGAACGUCGUCAUUCCGAAUGAUCAUGUUAAACCUUGUAAAUAUGAUGAAUAACAUGCUCAUAUAAUGUAAAUUCCUUCAAACUUAAAAAAUGUUGUACAUACAUAUGCAUAACCUUUAUGCAAUCAUAUUCAUUAUAUUUUAAGUAAAACGCAACUGUUGUCUAAAGAUCGAUUAAUGCGAACACAAGGAUCAAUUCAAGUUUGUCAAAACGUUUAUGAAUAUUGUAAAAUAUAACUUAUUCCGAUUAAUACCACUAUGGGUCAUAUCAAGUGUGUAGAACGGUUCUGAAUACUGUAAACUUGCACUUACUCAGAUUAAUGCCACUAUGGGUCAAUUCAAGUGUGUAGAAACUAUUCUGAAUAGUGUUUAGUUGCACUUUCUCCGAAUAAUACCACUAUGGAUCAAUUCAAGUGUGUAGAAACGGUUCUGAAUACUGCAAACUUGCACUCACUUCAAAUAGUGCCAAAUAUAAAAUGUGUGUAAGUACUUGAAAUGCCCAAACCAAUAUACCAAACCAAUAUAUAACUGUUACAAUACUGUACUGAUAGUGAAUAAAUUGGUAACGCGUUAUGAGGUAAAUGAUGCAUCGUGUUCAAUACAAGUAUUUUAAGGUUCAUGUCCAUUUAGGGCGAUUUUUAUAGGAUACGUAGCUAAGUUUUAUAAGAUACGUAGUUAAGUUUCAUUGAUAAGCGCGGGGGGACAAAAUAGGUUAUCCUGCAUUUGCUUUUAAAUAUAGAAUUGACAUAAUAUAUAAUCAUGUAUCGAAACGAAAUACAUUUGCUAUCAGAGUUUGUUGUCGAAUAACCCACGGUCAGUAGUCUAGAUGCAUUUUGUAAAACAAAUCGGUCUUUGCAUUUAUGAUUUAAUUCAUAUUCAUAUAGUUUGUCUUAUUUAUCGGAACGUUAGGUAGAUGUAAUUAGACACGUACAUGUAUGUUAUCAUUUUAAAUAUUAAAAAAAAAUGCAGCAGCAUUUCGCACACUUUUGUGAAAAUACAAAUGUGAUAAAUAACUAAAUUCACCUACUUACGUUUGUUUAAAUUAUAACUAACAUUUUUUAAACCACAUCAAAGCGUAUAUUGAACGAAUGUGAGUGCGUUGCUAACAUUGUCUAAGUACUAUUAUUAACUUAGACAAGAAGCUCGAGAAAAGAGUUGUCACACAAGUUAAUAUGCAUUUAGCAAUACAUUAUUUCUUUGCCUUAGAUAUGUGUAGUUUGUUAUUUGGGUUAUUUAUUGUUUUUAUUUGGGUUAUGAAUUGUUUUUUAUUAUUAUUAAACGUUUGACACGUUAAAUGAAUUCUAAAGGAUGUUUAUGUUUAACCCAUGAAUAUUACAAACAUAUAUUCGUUGUACGCGAUAUGUUUGAAUAUUACGUUAUAUUAUUAGUAUACAGUUGAUCUAAAUUAAUUUUAGUUGUCUUUUUUGUUAUGUAUUAUGUUUAUUUUUGCAUUUAUAUGUUUAUCGUUAGACUGCAUUAAACAAAACCACAUUUUUCGCUUAUAUACAUGAAAUCGUCCUUCUACACAUGCCAUCUUUAUUAUUAAUUUUUGAAAUAUUUCUAAAACAAUCGAAAUGAUGGCAGUAUACUUGGAAGUACUCGGAUCGUCUUUAAGUUGAAUGUAAAAGGAAACAAGUAGUGUAACACUGCAAUAUGCCUUCGGAUUAAUAUAACAUUAUUAAAGGGUUAUUUAAUAUCUGUGUAAAUGCAUCAUCACAAGCGUCUAAACAUAUAGAGAAAGUGGUUGAACUGGUUUAAUUUUAAGUGUCUGACGUUGUCCAAACGUAUUUUAAUAACAGUAUUUCUAAAACGUGAAGUCUAUCCAUUUUUGUUAACUAUUAUAUACGGUAGGUGCAUAUUGCAAUAAUAUAUUUAUUAUAGAGACAUGCUAUGUAUUGCUCAGAUGUGUUCAAUUAUUUUAUACCAUCGCAUGUAUCAAAACCAGUCUUGACUAUCAUUAGUUAUAUACAAUAUUUUCAUUUUAAUGCAGUUUCUUUAAUAAAUGUGCGCAAGCAUUUUUAUACUUAAAUAA